Unclassified non-coding RNA from Ictidomys tridecemlineatus (thirteen-lined ground squirrel), 180 nucleotides. NCBI's taxonomy places the organism in Eukaryota, Metazoa, Chordata, Mammalia, Rodentia, Sciuridae. The record is from Ensembl.
UGUGGGCCCGAGAGUCCACAGAUGCUUGUCAGGAGACAGGCAGUCAGUCUACCGUUGGAGGUAAACAAAUUAGGGUACAGCUUAGGCUAGAAGAAAAACGUCCUGCUAAACUACGGACAACGGAAUGUGCCUCUUGAGAUCAUGUGUUGGAUACACGUGUUCUUAAAACAGCCCCGCCGC